AGAAGCCCCAGGGCAGGGUCCAGACCAGCUUGCUCAUGUGCUGACACACUGCCUGGCUUACACACAGGGAGCGAGGCAGAGCUGCGCCUCCUCUGCAUCCCAUCACCUCCAGGAACCCACUGCCUCCUGCAUCUUCAAAGUGCCGCCAACCCGGCCCUGGUCACUGCACUCAUGACCCCGUUGCUCCAAGCCUGGUCUGCAGGCCCUUCGCCUGGGCUCAUCCCAGAGGGGCAAGCUGGCCACCUUGAGUCCACAUUGCCAGCAGGCAGAUAUUUAAUGAUCCAACUAAUUUUGGAAAACAUUAGAAUAAAAAACCAUAGGGGAAUUUAAAUCCCAGGCCCUGAACCAUGCUCCCUUCUCCAUAGGGAAGCUGGCACCCCCAGCCCUGCGACCAACACCCACGUCCCUUCCUUCAUUCAAGGAAGGCUAGGGACCCUGAUCUGAAAAGCUACCCCAGCCUCCCCUGGAAACCUCCAGGUAUGGCCAGAGCCCUUCAUGUGGGCAGCUGGGGCCAGGUCGCUGAGCUUGGGGCCUGGCCCAGCUCCCUGUUCACAGCCAUCCUCCCCUCCGCAUCUGUGCCAGUGACUGCUCCUCCCAAGGACAUUCCCCAGGAGCUCCGGAGGUCUGGCUCUGCUCUGCAAAGGGUUGUUUAUCUUGCCUGGGAUUCCAAUCGCUGGUCUCCCGCCAUUGAUCUCCCUGGGGGGGUUUGCUUGGGUAUUUUUAUAAAUGCUACUUUGAUAGUUGCCCUUGCAGAGACUUGUUGUCUAUCAUGAAUGUCCUGCUCCAAACUAGGAACAGCCAAGAGGACCGCUCAUACCUUGAGACAGUUUAAAUGUAAAGCAGCGACAGCUUUCCAAGAGCCAGGGAGCUGCAGAGCCACAGGGAGAGGAGAGGGGGAGCCUCUGUGGGUCUCAAAUACAAUGCUGGUCAUCUCUGAAAUGCUUCUGUCCUCCCCAAACCCAGCAUAACGGCCUGUGAAAAGGUCUGUUCCCCCCUAGUAGAUCAAAUCUCCAAUUCUCAUGACUCCAAGCUGGCUUCAAAAUGUCGGCAGUGAAUCUUUACAUGUGAAUCUUUCUAUAUAGAAAAUAGGCCACAGGGAGGAACUUCCCUUACUGUUCCCCUACCUCUCUGCCCCGUCCUGAACGAGCCCACCGCCAAAACUCCUCUUCCUACGACCUGGCCCUGCCUGCCCAAAGUAACUAACUCCCUCCGUGACCUGGCUAAGCUAAGGCCCUAUGAACCCAGACCCUCAAGGUGGCCCGCCGGCCAUUUUCUCCCUGAAGAUGUGCCCUUCUGGUGCUGAGUAAAGCUUCAGGUCUGCCUCUAUUUUCCUUUUUGUAUUCUCUUUCACGUACUUUUGCUGUGUAUCAAGUAUUUUCUGUUUCCCACUUAAUCAGAUAGCCUGCAGAGGCACGACCCCACUUCCUGUGGACUAAGAACCAGGCCUCAGAGUUGGCAUGCUCAUUUGCAGCCCAUGUGCCUGGGCCCUCUUUGGAUCAAUGAAAGCCUUAGUGGAAAGCACUUAAUCCUAAACAAUAGUUUAUUGGCUCAUCCUCCAAAUUAUAGUAUCCAUUUGCUUGUGUAAACCCAGCAAUCACCAAUCAUAAGCAUGAACCACAAAAACCUGCUUCAAGUAGGAUUUAGGCCCAGUUUUCAGUUUGGGUCUGACACAUUAUACCUGAUCACAGGAAACCAUAAAUAAUUCCUAAGUUGGGUGUACAUCUAAUAAAGAUGUUUUCAUUGUUUGCAAAAUAAAACUCAAAUCAAGCAGGGCCACCAGGAAAGUAGGUGUCCAGACAGGGAGAGCUGGGCCUUGGCACUGACUCACUGCGACUUCUUGAAUCUAUCACCAGGUAAAAGAAGAUGCCCCUGUCUGUCUGCAGUUUUCACUUGGGAGAUUUUUUUUAGAAACAUUCAGUUAGGGGUUUAGGUACAGCCUAUUUUAGUUUGAAUCUAGAUGCUUGGUGUAGACUCUAGGCCUGCCUAGUCAUCAGCCAUCUCAUCUGCAGGGGAGGGAAAGGGAACCUGGGCCAGGAGCCAUGGGGCAGGACUUUGGGAAACCCCUGGGCCUAUGGGAAACCCAUUAGAAAUUUGUCCUGAUAACUGUUGUUCUGGUUUGGAUGUGAGGUGUCCCCCAAAAGCUCAUGUGUAAGACAAUGCAAGAAAAUUCAGAGAAGAAAUGACUGGGAUAAGAGAGCCUUAAGCCAAUCAGUGGAUCAUUCAACUGAUGAGAUUGAGUGGUAAGUGAAUGUAGGUGGGGUGUGGCUGAGGGAGGUGGGGCAUUGGGGCAUGAGUUUAGAUAUGUAUUUGUGUUUGGCAAGUAGAUAUCUAUCUCUCUUCUCUCUCUCUCUCUCUGCUUUCUGAUCAUCAUGUGAGCUGCCUCCCUCUGCCACAUUCUUCUGCCAUAAUGUUCAGCCCCAUCUUGAGCCCAAGAGGAAUGGUGUUGAACUUCUAUGGACUGAGACCUCUGAAACUGUGAGUCCCUAAAUAAACCUUUAUAAUUGUUCUAGUUGGGUCCUUUAGUCACAGUGGUGAAAAAGCUGACUAAAACAGAAAUCAGUACUGGGAGUUGAGGCUGUAGUUGUGAUGAACCUGUGUGGUUCAUGUUUUUUGGAGCAUUUUGGAAUUGGUGGGAGGAAUUUUGAGAUGUUUAGCAGUUCAAGCUGGAAAUGCUUUAGAUUGUUGUAAAUUGAGCUUAAUGGUUGAUUCUGUUAGAAGCUCAGACCAGAAUGUCAGUAGGACUGUGGACAGUGAAGACAGGGCUCAAGAGGGUUCAGAGAAGGAGGUCUCUAUUGGAAUUUUAAAUAGAGGCCAUUGGUGUUAUGUUCUGGCUGAGAAGUUGUCUGAAUUUUGUCUGUGUCCUGAGACGUUCUAUGAGGCUGAUUUUAAAAGUGAUGGACUCUUAAUCUGGUGGAAAAAAUACUUAGGUAGCACAGCAUUCAGGAGGUGGCAUGGAUAUUGCUGGCAGCUUUUAGCCAAGUUUAUUAUGAUAGGAGCAGAAAGCAGAGCAGAAAGAUUUCAAAAAACUUGGUCUUAAAAGAUGGGAAUAAAACUGGGCCUAAAGAAAUUGUAGUUGUUCAAGACUUUACUGCCACUAAGGAAAUGCUAAAGACUUUGCCCAGAGACAAUAAGAAAGAUGGCUUGAGGGGCAUCUCUGGAGCUUGGAAGACCACACCCAUCUCAGGCUCAAAGGAGUAAAAGUGAAAAUUCUCUUAAGACCAGUGGGGAAUCCUUCUUACACAAGGAGACCUAGGAUGUUUUUUCAACAUUCUCAGCUACCCAGACACUCGGAGGCUGCUUCAGCAAGGGAGGCUUGGCUGUGUUCAAGAUGGUGGCAGACCUUGGUGUCAACCAUGUGGUGCUGGUUCUGUAGGAAUGCAGGAUGCUGGAAUUAGGGGGCCAUAGAGGCUUCCAACAAGAUUUCAAAAGAAGGCGUUAGAGCCCAGGCAAAGUGCAGCAGGAUCAGAGGCACUCCCUGAGAUGUCAAAGUGUGGAAGUGUGAGGAAGAAGCCGAAGCUGCAGUGGAGACCCCUAAGAUUAAGAAAUGCCAAUAAUGUGGGACAGUGUCCUAGGAAAGCUGCAGGAAUCAAGCAGAGGCAGGCCACAGAAAGGCCACUUGGGCUGCAAUCAACAAGGUCACAGAAGCAGAGCUACAGAAGCUCGUUGAACAGAACAUCACAAUGCCAUGUGCCCCAGAUGCCAGACAUGGAGCCACAGGUAUUGUUUGUCCAGCUGGAUUUCAGUCUUGCUUUGGUCCUAUCUAUAAGGUCCUUACUUAGCAUCUGGACGGUCAUCUUAAGUGACAGCCGCCAUUUUAUGAAAAUGUUUUGCUUUCCCGCCAAAUUGUGUUUCUGAGAAAGGCUCCCUCACCCAACCCCACCCCUAACCUCCUGCAUUAGAACUCUCCGGCCCUAAUCCCUGAGCCUGCUCCAUAAAAGUCCUGGAGGCCAAGCCUGUGUUGCCUCUCUCUCCUGCAGAGAGAUGGCCUUUAUUUGUCAGCUCUGACAGAUAAACUCUCGUGUGUAGCUCUGCCUGGGCUCCGUCUCUCAUUUCUCGCUUGCCCAUCUCCCAUUCCUCACUUUCCCUUCACUAUCCUUUAUUUCUAUCCCCCUAUAUUUCUGAAUAGAAGUGUCUACUCUGUACCAUUAUAUAUUGGAUACUUUUAAAUUGCUUUAAUUUUAUAGGAGCUCACUUGCAAGAUUGCCUUGAGCCUCAGAGAAGACUUUCAACUUGAACUUUGACCAAUCUCGGAACUGUUGAGAGACUAUGGGGCCGUUUCAGAAUGGGCUGAAUGUCUUUUGCAUUGUCAAAUGGGUGUGAGCUUUGGGGGGCCAAAGUCAGAAUGUUAUGGCCUUGAUGUCAUGUGUGAGAUAAUGCAAGAAGAUUUGGAGGAACAAUUGGGAUGUAAAAGCCUUAACCUAAUCAGCGAAUCAGUCACCUGAUUGGAUUAAUUGAGUGGUAACUGAAGGCGAGUGGGGUGUGGCUGGAGGAGGUGGGGUACUGGGAGCGUGGCUUUGGGGUAUAUAUUUUGUAUCUGGCAGGUGGUAAUCUCUCUCUUUGCUUCCUGAUCGUCAGUGAGCCACUUCCCUCUGCCAUACUCAUCUGCCAUGAAGUUCAGCCUCACCUUUAGCCCCAAGGAAUGGGACCUGCUGCCUGUGGAUUGAGACCUCUGAAACCGUGAGCCCCUAAAUAAGCUCUUCCUCCUUUAAAUUUGUUCUGGUCAGAUCCUUUAAUCAAAGCAGAAAAAAGCUGACUAAAACAACAUUGUGCUUCCUGGUUGACCAGAAGCUGUUGAUCUUCGUGGGACAGAGGCUCCGCCGGGGUCUCCACUGUGCACCGGUGCCAGUCCCAGGCCCACCUCCACCCUCCUGUCUGUCAUACCAGCUGCUUGCAUGGACUUUGAAGGACACAGGUUUGCACACGUGCCCAGAGGAGGAAAGAGCAAGCGAACGUGAAGACCCAGGACACUACAAGUGGCUGGAGGACUUUGUGGGUGUCACAUGAGGAGUGCAAGGAGCCCGUCUGCCCAAAGCCUCCCUCUCAAUGCCCAUCUAGGCAUCUGAACUCUUAAAGGUUCUUAAAUUUGCCUUCAUGCAAAGGAGGCUUGUGUGGGACGAGCCGUGACAUUGAUGCUUCACCAUCCAGGGAGGCUUCCUGGAAAAGGCAUCUUGGACAGACAAGCAAGAAGGCUCCAAGGGAAGGACGGCGCAUGAACGUGAGAUGUGGGGCCUGCCAUGGUGGAGGAUGGCAGGGCCACCCACCCAAGGAACCCUGAGGCCAGAAGAGGCAAGAGGUGGAGCCCAGCACCCAUGUGACCCCUAGGAGUUGGAGAUUUCUGUCUUCAUGAGGAAAAAAAAAGAAAGGGAGACAAGCUCCCCAGGGAGGAACCAAGGAGAGCCUGGCCCCAGGCCGCCCUUCCAGAAGCAUCUGUGCGGAACUGUGGAGGACUCAUUUUGUUUUGUUUCCAGUACUUCUUGAACAAGUAGUUGUGUAAAUUUGAUUACCAGAAAAAUGAAAUUUCAAAAGAAAUAUAGGACCCAAGUCCCAAAUUUAUUCUCCAAA
RNAcentral lists this long non-coding RNA (5562 nucleotides) under Marmota monax (woodchuck). The record is from RNAcentral. Lineage: Eukaryota; Metazoa; Chordata; Mammalia; Rodentia; Sciuridae.